This is a long non-coding RNA of Nothoprocta perdicaria, 377 nucleotides long. RefSeq lists it as uncharacterized. The record is from RefSeq and is a predicted model, not a curated record. The transcript is spliced from 2 exons. Lineage: Eukaryota; Metazoa; Chordata; Aves; Tinamiformes; Tinamidae.
UGCUCAAGCAGUACAGCACUUUUCCAUAAUACCAGUUUUACACCAUUUCUGCCACUGGGAAGAGGCCAGCCAGGCAAUCCCACCUUUGAUGGUAUCAGACCAUUCUUUAUGGCCUAGUGUAAGAACUGGUGGGAGCUGAAACGCUUUAAAACAUUCACGUGUGCUAGAACAUUUCCAUUUGCUCAACUGAGACUUCUGCAGSUUGCUUUAUUUCGACACUGGAGAGGUUGCUGGAAUUGAUACUCCUGAUUCACCAGAGAAAACCUACAGAUUAAAAAGUUAUCAGGUUUAUGAUGUCGUCCUUUUUGGAGCUGAGGAGCAGCUGUUGCUACAUAACAGCUCUGAGCAUGAUGAACAUUUUGGGAGAAGGGGUAAUU